This is a long non-coding RNA of Erinaceus europaeus (western European hedgehog), 1066 nucleotides long. RefSeq lists it as uncharacterized. The transcript is spliced from 4 exons. The record is from RefSeq and is a predicted model, not a curated record. Lineage: Eukaryota; Metazoa; Chordata; Mammalia; Eulipotyphla; Erinaceidae.
UAGAGAUGCUGCCACUCCCAUGGAAGGGAUCCAGCCAGGGGGCAAGACACCGAUCGUCCCUCACCGGCUCUCAGGACCCCGUGAUACAGAAAGGAGGACUCGGGGAGUAUUCUGGCAAUGGGAGCCUUAGGACUUUUAAACUAUAAGUUAGCUUCUUAGCUUAAUCACUCACUCCUAACCAAGAGAUAAAGCAUGGUGUGGGAGAGAUAAUACAGUGGUUAUGCAAAGAGGCUCUCACACCCCAAGGAUCCAAAGCACUGGGCUCAAUUCAGCUUCUCGCCAAGCCAGGCAGCACUUCUGGACCCUGUGGGAACAACUGGCUUCAGUCUGGACCUUUGCCCAAAAUCAACCAACAGCCAUCAGGUUCCAGAUGCUAUCAUGAUGCCAACCUGACUUCCCUGGACAGACGACCCCACCAAUAUGUCCUGGAGCCCUGCUUCCCCGGAGGCCUUCCCCACUAGGGAAAGAGAGAGGCAGACUGGGAGUAUGGAUCCACCUGCCAAUGCCCAUGUUCAACAGGGAAGCAAUUACAGAAGCCAGACCUUCUACCUUCUGCACCCCAUAAUGACCCUGGGCUCAUACUCCCAGAGGGAUAAAGAAUAGGGAAGUUAUCAGGGGAGGGGAUUGGAUAUGGAGCUCUGGUGGUGGGCACUGUGUGGAAAUGUACCCCUCCUAUCCUAUAGUCCUGUCAUUGUUUCCUUUUUAUAAAUAAAAAAAUUUAAAAAAUAAUCUAGCCUCUUGCUUCACAAAAUAAUCUAGCCUCUUGCUUCUAGCCUUGCUUCACAGAGGAGGGCAUGGUGCUUCAGACCCUCCUCCCUCUAUUCACUCACUGUCUGAUUCCUCUAGGGGAUGGAUCUGGAGAAAGAUAAGAGGCAAUGAGAAUAAAUGCUAAAAACCAAUUGCUAAACACUGUACAGAUAUCUCCAUAAAUGGGCAGUAAUGGUAACAUUAGGUAGCAUAAGUAACCUUGCCUCUCUCUUAGUGGAUAUAAGGUCUACAGGCUGAGGGGGGUGGUUGGGUGGAUUGGUUUACCCACAUCUCCUGCCUUCUCUCUCUGACUCUUUCG